RNAcentral lists this ribosomal RNA (492 nucleotides) under uncultured bacterium. RNAcentral's name for it is "partial 16S ribosomal RNA". It matches the Rfam family "Bacterial small subunit ribosomal RNA", at positions 29 to 507 of the family's 1533-position model. The record is from RNAcentral.
AGUGAACGCUGGCGGUAGGCCUAACACAUGCAAGUCGAACGGCAGCACAGUAAGAGCUUGCUCUUACGGGUGGCGAGUGGCGGACGGGUGAGGAAUACAUCGGAAUCUACUUUUUCGUGGGGGAUAACGUAGGGAAACUUACGCUAAUACCGCAUACGACCUACGGGUGAAAGCAGGGGAUCUUCGCACCUUGCGCGAUUGAAUGAGCCGAGGUCGGAUUAGCUAGUUGGCGGGGUAAAGGCCCACCAAGGCGACGAUCCGUAGCUGGUCUGAGAGGAUGAUCAGCCACACUGGAACUGAGACACGGUCCAGACUCCUACGGGAGGCAGCAGUGGGGAAUAUUGGACAAUGGGCGCAAGCCUGAUCCAGCCAUACCGCGUGAGUGAAGAAGGCCUUCGGGUUGUAAAGCCCUUUUGUUGGGAAAGAAAAGCAGCAGGUUAAUACCCCGCUGUUCUGACGGUACCCAAAGAAUAAGCACCGGCUAACUUCGUG